AAAUCCUGGAGCUCAACUCCAGAACUGCCAUUGAUACUAUUUAUCUUGAAUAUUGUGGAGGUAAGCGGAAUAUGUCAUGUAGCGGUGAAAUGCUUAGAUAUGACAUAGAACACCCAUUGCGAAGGCAGCUUACUACGCAUAUAUUGACGCUGAGGCACGAAAACGUGGGGAUCAAACAGGAUUAGAUACCCUGGUAGUCCACGCCCUAAACGAUGGAUACUCGACAUACGCGAUACACUGUGUGUGUCUGAGCGAAACGRUUAAGUUACCCACCUGGGAAGUACGUUCGCAAGAAUGAAACUCAAAGGAAUUGGCGGGGGUYYGACAAGCGGAGUAUGUGGUUUAAUUCGAUG
RNAcentral lists this ribosomal RNA (353 nucleotides) under uncultured Cytophagales bacterium. Its description in RNAcentral is "bacterial SSU rRNA". It matches the Rfam family "Bacterial small subunit ribosomal RNA", at positions 597 to 956 of the family's 1533-position model. The record is from RNAcentral. Lineage: Bacteria; Pseudomonadati; Bacteroidota; Sphingobacteriia; Sphingobacteriales.